Molecule: ribosomal RNA, 490 nt
Filed under: uncultured bacterium
Lineage: Bacteria
Description: partial 16S ribosomal RNA
Rfam family: Bacterial small subunit ribosomal RNA
Source: RNAcentral
GAUGAACGCUAGCGGCAGGCCUAAUACAUGCAAGUCGAACGGGAUCCAGAUCACAGCUUGCUUUGGUCUGGUGAGAGUGGCGCACGGGUGCGUAACGCGUGAGCAACCUACCCUUGUCAGGGGGAUAGCCCGGCGAAAGUCGGAUUAAUACCGCAUGACAUCAUUGAGAGGCAUCUUUCGAUGAUCAAGGAUUUAUCGGACAAGGAUGGGCUCGCGUGACAUUAGCUCGUUGGUAAGGUAACGGCGUAUCAAGGCUGCGAUGUCUAGGGGCUCUGAGAGGGGACUCCCCCACACUGGUACCGCGACCCGGACCAGUCUGCUACGGGACGCAGCAGUACGGAAUGUUGGUCGCGGGACGGUAGUCUGAACCAGCCAUGCCGCGUGCAGGAGGACGGCGCUCUGGGUUGUAAGCUGCUUUUAUACGGGAACAAUCGUCGGUACGUGUACCGGUCUGACUGUACCGUAAGAAUAAGCAUCGGCUAACUACGUG